AAUUAUAUUUACUUCAUUUUUGCAAAAUGAUUCAUUAUAAUAUUUA
Molecule: transfer RNA, 46 nt
Filed under: Nothopoda sp.
Lineage: Eukaryota; Metazoa; Arthropoda; Arachnida; Trombidiformes; Eriophyidae
Description: tRNA-Cys
Source: RNAcentral